UACGUAGGGGGCAAGCGUUGUCCGGAAUUAUUGGGCGUAAAGCGCGUGUAGGCGGCCGGAUAAGUCCGCUGUGAAAUCUCGAGGCUCAACUUCGAGCUGUCGGUGGAAACUGUCUGGCUAGAGUCCGGAAGAGGAGAAUGGAAUUCCUGGUGUAGCGGUGAAAUGCGCAGAUAUCAGGAAGAACACCCGUGGCGAAGGCGGUUCUCUGGGACGGUACUGACGCUGGAGACGCGAAAGCGUGGGGAGCGAACAGG
This 254-nucleotide ribosomal RNA is filed under the name uncultured bacterium. Its description in RNAcentral is "partial 16S ribosomal RNA". It matches the Rfam family "Bacterial small subunit ribosomal RNA", at positions 524 to 776 of the family's 1533-position model. The record is from RNAcentral.